AGUCGAGCGGACAGAUGGGAGCUUGCUCCCUGAUGUUAGCGGCGGACGGGUGAGUAACACGUGGGUAACCUGCCUGUAAGACUGGGAUAACUCCGGGAAACCGGGGCUAAUACCGGAUGCUUGUUUGAACCGCAUGGUUCAAACAUAAAAGGUGGCUUCGGCUACCACUUACAGAUGGACCCGCGGCGCAUUAGCUAGUUGGUGAGGUAACGGCUCACCAAGGCAACGAUGCGUAGCCGACCUGAGAGGGUGAUCGGCCACACUGGGACUGAGACACGGCCCAGACUCCUACGGGAGGCAGCAGUAGGGAAUCUUCCGCAAUGGACGAAAGUCUGACGGAGCAACGCCGCGUGAGUGAUGAAGGUUUUCGGAUCGUAAAGCUCUGUUGUUAGGGAAGAACAAGUACCGUUCGAAUAGGGCGGUACCUUGACGGUACCUAACCAGAAAGCCACGGCUAACUACGUGCCAGCAGCCGCGGUAAUACGUAGGUGGCAAGCGUUGUCCGGAAUUAUUGGGCGUAAAGGGCUCGCAGGCGGUUUCUUAAGUCUGAUGUGAAAGCCCCCGGCUCAACCGGGGAGGGUCAUUGGAAA
RNAcentral lists this ribosomal RNA (590 nucleotides) under Bacillus sp. CH109a_4T. RNAcentral describes it as "bacterial SSU rRNA". It matches the Rfam family "Bacterial small subunit ribosomal RNA", at positions 60 to 632 of the family's 1533-position model. The record is from RNAcentral. Lineage: Bacteria; Bacillati; Bacillota; Bacilli; Caryophanales; Bacillaceae.